Microtus ochrogaster (prairie vole) is the source of this 4595-nucleotide RNA transcript. It is a transcript of the gene named zinc finger protein 25-like, with no coding region annotated. The record is from RefSeq and is a predicted model, not a curated record. NCBI's taxonomy places the organism in Eukaryota, Metazoa, Chordata, Mammalia, Rodentia, Cricetidae. The transcript is spliced from 7 exons.
UUGGGACCUGUCGUCAGGUACUGCCCCCUAUCAGGAGGCCCUUCCUGGACACUUUGUGCUGACCUCUGUGGCCUGGUGCCUGAGUGGUGCAGGGAGAAACAGAGUGAGGACUCGGGAUGCUCGGAAAGCUGGAGAUGGGAUCAGUGUCAUUUGAGGACGUAGCUGUGGACUUCACGUGGCAGGAGUGGAAGAAGCUGGAUGCUGCUCAGAGGACCCUCUACAGGGAUGUGAUGCUGGAGACCUACAGCAGCCUGGCAUUCGUGGGGCACUGCACAGCCAAACCUGAGUUGAUCAUUAAGUUGGAGCAUGGAUUUGGGCCUUGGAGUAAAGCAGAAGCCUCAGUCUGGAACUUUCCAGAUGUUCGAAAAGCACAUGUUCCAAUUGAGACUAUCCAGGAAAAGGAAGAGAGGUAUUUGUGUGAAGAGAAAACUACCAGUAGCAAUAUAUCUAAUGAAGAAGGGGCUGAAGCACAACUAAAGGUUCAACAGAAAAUACACCAAGGAGAAAAGCCAGAUUCUUGUGUGGAAACCUCCUGCCAAAGGCCCCAGCACGAGAAGAGUCACACACGCAGGAAACACUAUGACUGUGGGGACUGUCAUGAAGCUGUCCGUGGUAAGUCACCACCCACAGAACACCAGAGCACGCAGACUAAAGAGAAGACCUAUGAGUGCAAAGAGUGCCAGAAAGAGUUCUACCACAAGUCACAUCUCUUUCGACAUCAGAAAACUCAUACAGGCAAGAAGCCCUUUGAAUGUGACGAAUGCCAAAAAGCUUUCUACCACAAGUGCCAUCUCGUCCAACACCAGAGGAUUCAUACCGGGGAGAGGCCCUAUGAGUGUAGAGAGUGUGAGAAAGCCUUCCGCCGCAGGUGGCUUCUGACUCUACAUCAGAGGACUCACACAGGGGAGAAGCCUUAUGGCUGUAAAGAGUGCAGGAAAGCUUUCUUCUACAAGUCGCACCUCACUCGACACCAGAGAACCCAUACAGGCCAGAAGCCCUACGAAUGUCAUGAGUGUAAGAAAGCUUUCUGGCAGAAAUCAAACCUUACUGCACACCAGAGAAUCCAUACCGGUGAGAAGCCCUACGAAUGUAAAGUGUGCAAGAACGCUUUCUACAACAAGUCAAACCUCACUCUGCAUCAGCGAACUCACACGGGUGAGAAGCCCUAUCAGUGUGAAGAGUGCUGGAAAGCUUUCUACAGCAAAUCAAAACUCAGCCGCCAUCAGGCCACUCACACAGGUUACUGCUUCUGUCAACUCCAAUCUGCCAUGGGAGGAAACUUCCUCUUUACAGUGGUGUACCACAAAGCCUCAUAACCACCUGAACUCCUGAGACUAAGUGACUAUUGUGACAUUCUGAUCCAAUGCUCAAUCUCAGAUGGAGGAAAAUAAUCAAACAUCUAUGUCAUCCAUCUAAGCCUCAGGGAAUGUUCUGGAAGAGGUGGCUUGAAAGAAUGAAAAAUCAAAAACAGCGUGUGAAGAUGAACCCGCUGAACCUGAACCUGAACCUGAACUGCAUCAGAAUCUGCCCACAGUCUGGAAAAGUUGUCAACACCCUACUGAUCACAUCAUUGCUAGAGAGAUGUCGGUAUAUGUCUUAGGGUUUCUCUUGCUGUGAAGAGACACAAUGACCAGAGCAACUCCUAUAAAGGAAGACAUUUGAUGGGGUGGCUUACAGUUUCAGAGGUUUAGUCCAUUAUCUCCAUGGUGGGACAUGAUGGCGAGCAAGUAGACAUAGUGCUGUAGUUGAGAAUCCUGCAUCUUGAUUGGCAGGGAAGAGGAAGUGAACUGAAGCACUGGAUGAGGCUUGAGCACAUAUGAGACCUCAAAACCUACCACACUGUGAUGCACGUCCUCCACCAAAGCCACACCUACUCCAACAAUGACAUACCUCCUGAUAAUGCCUCUCCCUCUGAGCUUAUAGGAACAAAUUACAUUCCAACUACCACAGUAUAUAACAUAUACUCAUUCCAAAUUAGUUUAGUAAACAGUCAGCACCAUGUUUUACCAGUAAAUAAUUAGUAGCGCUCAUGUUUUGUUUAAAGUUCCUUCAUUUUCUCCUAACACAGUAGCCAUGUUUUAAAGUAUUAACUCUUCUCAUUAGUUCUUAUUAUGCUCACCUCUCUAUCUAUCUAUCUGUCUGUCUGUCUGUCUGUCUGUCUGUCUGUCUAUCUCUCCAUCUGUUCCUGUCACUGAGUAGUCAGAGGGACAGCCUGAGUCAUGGAACUUGGAAAGAAACUUGAGACAAGCGUGCUUGGCUCUGAAGUAGUUGGUCCAAUCCCAUCUGAGAGUCAGCCUUUCAGAGAACUGAGACAGCAUGUGCCUGUAUACUUUUUAAAUAUUAUCUGUGCCCAAAGGGCAUUUAAAAGAAACAUCCAAGAACCCAGAAAGUGAUGACAUCUGUGUCUUUACAAUUAAAAGGUAUAAACAAAAGCAAGAAUGUUCAUGCUUGGUAAGGCAGAAGCAAAGGCAGACUACAGGCAUAAGGCAAGGAGGCCCAAGAACAUGAAGGCUGUCCUAUAUCAGAGCCAGCAGGUUUGUGGACUCAAUGUUGCUGCAGGCUCCUAUGAGCGGGCUGGUAUCUCAACGGCUAUUGCCUGAAGGAGCUCCCGCAUAAUCUUCUCAAAUGCCUUUAGCUGUUUGAACUGUGGGCAGGGUCUGUUGACAUUCUCUGCUAACAUUGUCAAAGGCCAAUUCUAUAAUUUCUAUAAUAUCUGAGGUCAGAUUGAAAACCCACCUCUUCAUAUCACCAAAUCCUGAAAUGAAGGAAUUCAGCAAGUUUAAACAAGUUCUGGCCAACUAGCCCCAGUCAUGGGGGAUCAGUUGCUGCAUUUCAGCUCUCCCUCUUAACAAUCCCAUCAUACAUGAAGCUGUAGCUCUGUAAGUGGAGAUGGCUUGUUUAAAAUCACUAAGGACCUAAGACACAAUAGGCUUCUAUUCUGCCCACAUUCCCCUCUUAGAAAACUUAUCACCAACUCUGAGUCUAAAGGGUUAGAAAUGUACCGGUAUUUCAAAGUGCCACAGAUAGGUAUGGCUCAAGAUCCUCUUGCUUUUGAGCUGAGUCCUAGGGUUAGUGCAGAAACACCAACUGUAGGGAUGCAGAGGAAUGGAUGGUUAGCAGAGAACUUUUUACCUUCUGAAUGAUCAACAGAGUCAGAAAAGAUCAAGGGAGACAAAGGAGGAAGGCAGGGCUCCACUCACUGUCUCAUUUCCUUCUGAAGGAGCUAUCUGCCCUGUGGUGUCUCCUUGUGCCAAUAGGGCAGUAGCCAUUUGCAAUGGCCAGAUAGUAAGGUGAAAAAACCACAAGGACAAGACAUUGAAUGGGAUCCCCUAGAUUUGCUGAGGAGCCUGUCUACAAACAUAAACAUCUUCCCAUUGCUUCCUGGGCAGUGCUCCUGUAACAGAAGUAACAGUAUUUGUCUCUAUAUUCUGACAGGUCAUAGAAAUCUCAUUUUUGUACUUUCUCCUGAAAUGCUUUUACCAUUGCUUACCAUAUGCACAUAUGGCCUGCCCUUUGCUCUGGCAUCCAGGAGUGGGACCGUAGCAUGCUUUAUAAUUUUGUUUAUACUUUCUUGUUGAAUUUUUUAAAAGUUCCCAUGUUUUAGUUUCAUUCCUUUAACCAAAAAAUUCAAACUCUUAAACUAUUACACUUACUAUUUUGCUAUUUGCUUUACCAUGAAUUUUCCAUUUUAAAAUUAUUAAGAAUUUGCGUAUAAAAAUCAGAUCUAAAUCAAUAAGGAUAAUAUAACCUACUUAUGAGAGGCUACUAUGUCAAACUUAAAUUCAAAUUAUGUGCAAAUUAGUUAAAAUUCUGAGCUUGGGUAUGUCACGAGCAAUGCCCAUGCGUCAAAAUAACUUCCUCACAAAGCAUCGUAUUUGAUGUCAUCGAGUAUAUUAAAGAAUUUGAGCUAUGAUAGAGCUGAGGGAUUUGUGUAGUUCACAGAGACUGACCUAGCACGUCAGAGGUCCUGGAUCUGAUCCCCUUGGCUAUACACCCACAGCAGGGGUGGGGUUGGAGACGUACCUCUAGUCAGCAUUUCAGAGGCUGAAGCAGGAGGACACAGAGAUGUUGCUCUAACCAUCUCCUCAGCCUUCCUGGAAACUACAGCUCAUAAAAAAAUAAAGGUACAUGUUUGUUCUUUUAUCUCGUUUAUUUUUCUUGUUUUGUUUGACAUGCGGUCUUUCACCGUAGCUCCUGUAAUUCACUGUGUGGACCAGACUGGCCUCACACUCACAGACACCAGUCUGCUUUGGCAUCCCACCAUGCCUGACUCUACAAGCUUUAUUCAUUUGUCCUUCAAUUUCUUUUUUAAUUUAAUUUUUUUGCUUUUUAUGUCUAUGAGUUUUUUGUGUAUAUUUGUGGACCACGUGCCUGCCUGGUACCUUCAAGGACAAGAAGAAUGUGAUGAUGAAGAUUAUGUUUAGAUGAUAAUUUGAGGCAUCCUGGGCAAUACAGCCAGCCCUUGUCUCAAACACAGAAACAAACCUACACCCAGGCUGGGGUUGUCCAGUUCAAAUGUCAGAGCAGAGUAGGGAAUUGAUGGGGGAGAGUCUUCUGGCUUGUGUUAAUUUCAUUGGUUAAAUAAAGAGACUGCC